GGAGUUGUAGCUCAGUGAUAGAGUGCUUUCCCAGCAUGUGUGAGGCACUGGGUUCGAACCUCAGCACCA
This 69-nucleotide transfer RNA is filed under the name Marmota monax (woodchuck). RNAcentral's name for it is "tRNA.Ala". The record is from RNAcentral. Lineage: Eukaryota; Metazoa; Chordata; Mammalia; Rodentia; Sciuridae.